Molecule: ribosomal RNA, 429 nt
Filed under: Chloroflexota bacterium
Lineage: Bacteria; Bacillati; Chloroflexota
Description: Chloroflexi bacterium partial 16S ribosomal RNA
Rfam family: Bacterial small subunit ribosomal RNA
Source: RNAcentral
UGGGGAAUAUUGCACAAUGGGCGCAAGCCUGAUGCAGCCAUGCCGCGUGUGUGAAGAAGGCCUUCGGGUUGUAAAGCACUUUCAGCGGGGAGGAAGGCGAUAAGGUUAAUAACCUUGUCGAUUGACGUUACCCGCAGAAGAAGCACCGGCUAACUCCGUGCCAGCAGCCGCGGUAAUACGGAGGGUGCAAGCGUUAAUCGGAAUUACUGGGCGUAAAGCGCACGCAGGCGGUCUGUCAAGUCGGAUGUGAAAUCCCCGUGCUCAACCUGGGAACUGCAUUCGAAACUGGCAGGCUAGAGUCUUGUAGAGGGGGGUAGAAUGCCAGGUGUAGCGGUGAAAUGCGUAGAGAUCUGGAGGAAUACCGGUGGCGAAGGCGGCCCCCUGGACAAAGACUGACGCUCAGGUGCGAAAGCGUGGGGAGCAAACAGG